GGAGUCGGCCAGACAGUCGCCGCCGGCAGGGCCACAGGGCCGUGCCGGGGGAGGAAAGUCCGGGCUCCACAGGGCAGGGUGCCAGGUAACGCCUGGGCGGCGCGAGCCGACGGAAAGUGCAGCAGAGAGCAGACCGCCUACGUCUCCCGCGGGAGGCCGGCAAGGGUGAAAGGGUGCGGUAAGAGCGCACCGCGCGCCUGGCAACAGUGCGUGGCACGGUAAACCCCACCCGGAGCAAGACCAAAUAGGAACCCCAUGGCGUGGCCCGCGUCGGGUUCGGGUAGGUCGCUUGAGCGCUGCGGUGACGCAGCGACUAGAUGAAUGGCUGUCCGCGACAGAACCCGGCUUAUCGGCCGACUCCCUCC
Molecule: RNase P RNA, 365 nt
Filed under: Billgrantia azerbaijanica
Lineage: Bacteria; Pseudomonadati; Pseudomonadota; Gammaproteobacteria; Oceanospirillales; Halomonadaceae
Description: Halomonas sp. TBZ202 RNase P RNA component class A
Rfam family: Bacterial RNase P class A
About the family: Ribonuclease P (RNase P) is a ubiquitous endoribonuclease, found in archaea, bacteria and eukarya as well as chloroplasts and mitochondria. Its best characterised activity is the generation of mature 5'-ends of tRNAs by cleaving the 5'-leader elements of precursor-tRNAs. Cellular RNase Ps are ribonucleoproteins.
Source: RNAcentral